This 1372-nucleotide ribosomal RNA is filed under the name uncultured bacterium. Its description in RNAcentral is "bacterial SSU rRNA". It matches the Rfam family "Bacterial small subunit ribosomal RNA", at positions 28 to 1381 of the family's 1533-position model. The record is from RNAcentral.
GAUAAACGCUGGCGGCGUGCCUAAUACAUGCAAGUCGAGCGAACGGACGAGAAGCUUGCUUCUCUGAUGUUAGCGGCGGACGGGUGAGUAACACGUGGAUAACCUACCUAUAAGACUGGGAUAACUUCGGGAAACCGGAGCUAAUACCGGAUAAUAUUUUGAACCGCAUGGUUCAAAAGUGAAAGACGGUCUUGCUGUCACUUAUAGAUGGAUCCGCGCUGCAUUAGCUAGUUGGUAAGGUAACGGCUUACCAAGGCAACGAUGCAUAGCCGACCUGAGAGGGUGAUCGGCCACACUGGAACUGAGACACGGCCCAGACUCCUACGGGAGGCAGCAGUAGGGAAUCUUCCGCAAUGGGCGAAAGCCUGACGGAGCAACGCCGCGUGAGUGAUGAAGGUCUUCGGAUCGUAAAACUCUGUUAUUAGGGAAGAACAUAUGUGUAAGUAACUGUGCACAUCUUGACGGUACCUAAUCAGAAAGCCACGGCUAACUACGUGCCAGCAGCCGCGGUAAUACGUAGGUGGCAAGCGUUAUCCGGAAUUAUUGGGCGUAAAGCGCGCGUAGGCGGUUUUUUAAGUCUGAUGUGAAAGCCCACGGCUCAACCGUGGAGGGUCAUUGGAAACUGGAAAACUUGAGUGCAGAAGAGGAAAGUGGAAUUCCAUGUGUAGCGGUGAAAUGCGCAGAGAUAUGGAGGAACACCAGUGGCGAAGGCGACUUUCUGGUCUGUAACUGACGCUGAUGUGCGAAAGCGUGGGGAUCAAACAGGAUUAGAUACCCUGGUAGUCCACGCCGUAAACGAUGAGUGCUAAGUGUUAGGGGGUUUCCGCCCCUUAGUGCUGCAGCUAACGCAUUAAGCACUCCGCCUGGGGAGUACGACCGCAAGGUUGAAACUCAAAGGAAUUGACGGGGACCCGCACAAGCGGUGGAGCAUGUGGUUUAAUUCGAAGCAACGCGAAGAACCUUACCAAAUCUUGACAUCCUUUGACAACUCUAGAGAUAGAGCCUUCCCCUUCGGGGGACAAAGUGACAGGUGGUGCAUGGUUGUCGUCAGCUCGUGUCGUGAGAUGUUGGGUUAAGUCCCGCAACGAGCGCAGCCCUUAAGCUUAGUUGCCAUCAUUAAGUUGGGCACUCUAAGUUGACUGCCGGUGACAAACCGGAGGAAGGUGGGGAUGACGUCAAAUCAUCAUGCCCCUUAUGAUUUGGGCUACACACGUGCUACAAUGGACAAUACAAAGGGCAGCGAAACCGCGAGGUCAAGCAAAUCCCAUAAAGUUGUUCUCAGUUCGGAUUGUAGUCUGCAACUCGACUACAUGAAGCUGGAAUCGCUAGUAAUCGUAGAUCAGCAUGCUACGGUGAAUACGUUCCCGGGUCU